GAGCUGUGAUGAAAUUGGCUUCAGCGUUGGUUGGGUCCUUCGCAUUCUUCUGAUUAUCAGAUGACAUCGCCUUACUCCUGAGCUC
This 85-nucleotide small nucleolar RNA is filed under the name Arabidopsis thaliana x Arabidopsis arenosa. RNAcentral's name for it is "snoR114". It matches the Rfam family "small nucleolar RNA snoR114". The record is from RNAcentral. Lineage: Eukaryota; Viridiplantae; Streptophyta; Magnoliopsida; Brassicales; Brassicaceae.